CGUGUAGGCGGCGAGGAAAGUUGGAUGUGAAAGCUCCUGGCUUAACUGGGAGAGGUCGUUCAAAACUACCUGGCUAGAGAUUGGUAGAGGAAAAUGGAAUUCCGGGUGUAGUGGUGAAAUGCGUAGAUAUCCGGAGGAACACCAGUGGCGAAAGCGAUUUUCUGGACCAAGACUGACGCUCAGACGCGAAAGCUAGGGUGGCAAACG
This 207-nucleotide ribosomal RNA is filed under the name uncultured bacterium. Its description in RNAcentral is "partial 16S ribosomal RNA". It matches the Rfam family "Bacterial small subunit ribosomal RNA", at positions 568 to 774 of the family's 1533-position model. The record is from RNAcentral.